CACAAUGACCACGUUACUGAGUUAAUCUAUAUUGUUGUCUAAAUUAGGACAUAAAACUAGGAAGAAAUUCAUUGAACCUCAGGUCUAGCUCUCCUAUCACAGAAAAAUUGCUCGUUACCUAUCGAGUGAUGACCUGCCAUCUCCCAUUUGUUCCUUUUUGAAUCCUACCUGGCCCAGUGGGGAAGCCUGGAGGAUACCCUAGGACUGUGAACAAGGCUAUCACCAUUUUCUUUGUGUCACCUGAUAAAAGAUUUGCUCGUGCAUGAAUUGAAAUUGAAAAUAUAAAAACUGACUUUUUUUUUCUCUGUAGGCUGUCCUCUUCAGUAUUCAGAAGGGAACACAUUCUGGUGUUGUGAUGUGUAGAAGAGAAGGCAGUGAACAUGUGGAGUACAACCAAGUUGUAGUGACUUUGCUGUGAAUUGCACAAGCAGUGAAGUAUUUUGUGGAUGUUGCUGACCCACUGGACUUAUAUGAGGAAAUACUGCCUGAGCCAGAAACAGCUGUCAAGCCUCUCACUUUUGUUCUUUAACUGCAAGACUAUCCUUUGCCUAAAUAUCAGAGAAACCUGCAAAACAAGAAUUGCAAGCUUCAUUAAGAUAUAAUGAGCCAAAUUAAUUCUUGAGGUAAGUACAAAAAACAAAUGCUGUUAAAAGAGACUUAUUAUCUGCUGGUGGAAGAUUUCAUCCACUAUAACAAAAAAUAGCUUAAAAUAUCCUUUAUCAUAAGAAAAUUGGAACUGUAUUUGAGGCAGUAGACUUACAGAGGAUGAUCAAGUGAUUUGUCACCAGCAAUAACUCUUUGUGAGUAAUGCAUUUUCACUCAUAGUUGCACCCUGUUCCCAUUUCAGCUUAGGGAGAGUCCAUUAUAUGAUUUGAAAUAAAUAAAACAGUUUUGAUUUCUUCA
This 903-nucleotide long non-coding RNA is filed under the name Anas platyrhynchos platyrhynchos (common mallard). RNAcentral's name for it is "lncRNA (ENSAPLG00000016951.1)". The record is from RNAcentral. Lineage: Eukaryota; Metazoa; Chordata; Aves; Anseriformes; Anatidae.